GGAGGAAAAGAAACCAACUGGGAUUCCCUUAGUAACGGCGAGUGAAAAGGGAAGAGUCCAGCGCCGAAUCCCUUUUUACCGAGGGAAAUGUGGCGUUAGGGAGUGAGCGUGAUGUGUCGUUUUACCGUCCGAAAGUCCCCAUGAACGGGGUGUCCAGAGAGGGUGGCAGGCCCCUGUCGGCGGAAAUUGGACGCACGUGCGAUCUCCGAGGAGUCGAGUUGCUCGGGAGUGCAGCUCAAAGAGGGUGGUAAACUCCAUCUAAGACUAAAUAUCACCGCGAGGCCGAUAGCAAACAAGUACCGUGAGGGAAAGUUGCAAAGAACUUUGAAGAGAGAGUUCAAGAGUGCGUGAAACUGCUCAGAGGCAAACGGGUGGGAUCGCGAAGUCCUGUGUCGAGGGCAUUCAGGGUCGAGGGUCGUCGCUUUCGAUGGUCGGUUUUAUCCGGCCUUCGAGUAGGUGACCAGCUUCCUGCAUUUGCUCUCGACCGGAGGACGCUGCAGCCGGUCGGGUCUCUUUCAAGAUCUCGUGAAGGUCGAGCGUUGCAGGUGGCCGGUGUCUCGUCUUCUGGACGAGGCAUCGGUUUUAGAGCUUGCUCGUCCGAGGAAGAUCACCCGACCGAGGUGUCGUUAGCCUUUCGGGGCUCUKUCGUCUCCCUGGCUUCGUGCUUCGAGAAGCUUUGCGCAGGCGAGGAUUAUCGUCUGCGUCGCACCGGUUCACCGCGUGGACGAACGGCGGUAAGACUGUCGUUGGCGUGGCUUGCUCGUUGGAGACUUUCGGCUGGCAGCGAAGUCGUCGGAUUCCCACCC
RNAcentral lists this ribosomal RNA (806 nucleotides) under Dictyna sp. MH1. Its description in RNAcentral is "eukaryotic LSU rRNA". It matches the Rfam family "Eukaryotic large subunit ribosomal RNA", at positions 52 to 645 of the family's 3401-position model. The record is from RNAcentral. Lineage: Eukaryota; Metazoa; Arthropoda; Arachnida; Araneae; Dictynidae.